CUACGGGUUGCACCAGUAAGGAAUAUUGCGCAAUGGAGGCAACUCUGACGCAGCCAUGCCGCGUGCAGGAAGAAGGCCUUAUGGGUCGUAAACUGCUUUUAUUUAGGAAUAAACCCCCGAACGUGUUCGGGGCUGAAGGUACUAAACGAAUAAGCACCGGCUAACUCCGUGCCAGCAGCCGCGGUAAUACGGAGGGUGCAAGCGUUAUCCGGAUUUAUUGGGUUUAAAGGGUGCGCAGGCGGACUAUUAAGUCAGUGGUGAAAUCCCGGGGCUCAACUCCGGAACUGCCAUUGAUACUGAUAGUCUUGAGUUUGGUUGAAGUGGGCGGAAUGUAGCAUGUAGCGGUGAAAUGCAUAGAUAUGCUACAGAACACCAAUCGCGAAGGCAGCUCACUAAGCCAAAACUGACGCUCAUGCACGAAAGCGUGGGGAUCAAACAGGAUUAGAUACCCUCGUAGUC
This 459-nucleotide ribosomal RNA is filed under the name uncultured bacterium. RNAcentral describes it as "partial 16S ribosomal RNA". It matches the Rfam family "Bacterial small subunit ribosomal RNA", at positions 339 to 795 of the family's 1533-position model. The record is from RNAcentral.